CGAAGAAUGGAUAUUACUGAAAAGGAGCACGAGAAUAAAGAAGUGAUAGAAACACAACAUCAUGAAAGUGAAACAACUCAUUGAGGCAAGCAUUAAGUCCUUUGGUGUUGUGUGUUGGGUAGGGUUGCUGACUCCUCUGGGGUGAGGGAGACUCAUCCUGAGCAGCAUACAGCACCAAGAUAAGGCGAUACAGCUAACCUGCACAACGCCAGGAAACGGAAAAUUAAAUACCGAAGAAACGAUAUUACAGAAAAAGAAUACGAAAAUAAAAAAAAGUCAUGGAAACACAACAUGGACUGACACUCUGAUGACGACCCACGCAACAAGGCCCCCUGACACUCCCUGGACACUCUCUGAUCAAUGGACGGACACUCUGAUGACGACCCACGCAACAAGGCCCCUGACACUCCCUGGACACUCUCUGAACAAUGGACGGACACGCUGAUGACGACCCACGCAACAAGGCCCCUGACACUCCCUGGACACUCUCUGAACAAUGGACGGACACGCUGAUGACGACCCACGCAACAAGGCCCCUGACACUCCCUGGACACUCUCUGAACAAUGGACGGACACGCUGAUGACGACCCACGCAACAAGGCCCCUGACACUCCCUGGACACUCUGAACACUGCCCUGACCAUUUGCAACAAAAAAUCUCCUCACGACGUAACCUAAAAAGGACAAAAUCCCCCCCGACAAAAAAAAAAAAAUAGUUAACUUUCCAAACUAUAACGAAAUAGUUGUCACCAACAAGACAUCAAAAUAAAGAAGCCAUAAAAAAGAAAAAGAAAAAAAGCAACAAAGAAAUCAACUCAAGCAGUAGUAAAAAAAAAAAGACCUAACAAA
Molecule: long non-coding RNA, 848 nt
Organism: Eriocheir sinensis (Chinese mitten crab)
Lineage: Eukaryota; Metazoa; Arthropoda; Malacostraca; Decapoda; Varunidae
Exons: 2
Source: RefSeq, a predicted model, not a curated record